AUUUCAAGGCUUUUUUUUUUGUUGGGCAGAUCCAAUUAUUUGAUAAGUGUUUGAAGAUGAAUUCAGGCCACUCCACAGUGUAUCCUCCACCUUCAACUGCACCUCCCCCUCCUCUUGGUUACCCUACCAAACAAGACAAUCAACAAAAUCAUGCAGUGGAAACAAAGUCCAAGGGUGAUGGAUUCUGGAAGGGAUGUUGUGCUGCAAUAUGUUGCUGUUGUGUCUUGGAUGCAUGUUUCUAAUGGCUCGGAGAUGGCAUAAUAGGAUUUUUUUUCUCAUCAUAUAUGGCAUAAUUUGGAUGUGUUUUCAUUAAUAAUGC
This is a long non-coding RNA of Vicia villosa (hairy vetch), 319 nucleotides long. RefSeq lists it as uncharacterized. The record is from RefSeq and is a predicted model, not a curated record. The transcript is spliced from 3 exons. Lineage: Eukaryota; Viridiplantae; Streptophyta; Magnoliopsida; Fabales; Fabaceae.